Bombus terrestris (buff-tailed bumblebee) is the source of this 1836-nucleotide long non-coding RNA. RefSeq lists it as uncharacterized. NCBI's taxonomy places the organism in Eukaryota, Metazoa, Arthropoda, Insecta, Hymenoptera, Apidae. The transcript is spliced from 4 exons. The record is from RefSeq and is a predicted model, not a curated record.
AUACCUCUCCAUAGGCAGUCGCUGUAAAAAGGAUAUUUCAGUGUACCUAUUCGAUGAAAAACGAUCGAAGACUGUGAUCCACCGAACAGCAUUCGCAACGGGGCGUACCAAUGUCGUUAAAAGCGUUGUUUCCUACGAGCCAUAAAUUGAGCAUUGUCUAGGAUCGUUAUUAAUCGCCCGCGUCAUAUAUCUUCACUAACGUUUGAGUAUAAUUAACGUUGGCAAGAUGGUCGAUCGCGAUUAUCGAAGAGAAACAAAUUGUCCCUGCAUCGACGGUUUGCGAAAGAAGUCGAUGAUCGGGAACCGAUCGGUCUCUAUGGAUCGUUAACGGCGCUCAAGGCGUGCCGAUAAUAUUUCAUUACGUUCGCGACCGUGCAAUUCGCAAUACGCGUUUUCCGCGGCCAAGUUCGUGUUCUACUGAUUUUUAUUCCUUCUUUCUUUAACCGCUUAAAGGAUAACUAUAUAAACUAACUAAAGGAUAAGGAUACUGGAGAGUGGUUUCCAACAGACACGAUGUUUUAAUUGAUCAGAUAAUCAGCUAAUAAUAGAAGAAAGCUGUGGACGAUCUUUAAGUGCUAAUCAGUGUCAAUGUCACUGGGCAAUCAAUAAUUCCAAGGUUAUUCUAUACUUCCUGACUCCACUUUCCAGCGAUAUCGAACGAUACGGAAAUUCUUCGGGACGUUCAUCGACGAAUCUCUCUAGCACAGAGGGACACGGAGAUGGAGAAAACGUAACGAUUCGGAGAAAUCGUUGGUUCGUUUCGUAUCUCCCGGCGGAGCGUAUUUUCUCGCGAGGAAGCGCACUCACGAGGCCCAGACUCGCGCGAUGUGUACGUGCCUUAAUCUUGCCGCGAGAUGCACAUCCGCCGGUACUCCUCUGCUCAGAUUGAAACACGGAAGCCCUAAGGCCAUGGUUAACGGAACAUGCAGACGCUUCCAAUACGACGAAGCCAAUUUCCUGGCUGGAAACGAAUACACGUUCGUCGCUCCAGCCGCCUCUUGCUUUUUUGCUGUUUUCAUCGUGUUACAAUUUCGCGAAUCACAGGAAAACGUAUGGUGAGAUCGAAAGUUGCGACAUAAAUUAAAUAUAAGCAGAAAAUUGCGACAGGAGAUUUUAUGCCAGAACAAACGUGCAUUUAACGUGAAAACGCGUUCUCGUUCUUAUUAACAUUUGUCGAUGUUUCUAACGCAAUGAGAUACGAAGGAAUAUCGAUUUUGCGAAAUCUCUGUCGCAUCAUAAUUACGACGAGAAUCGACCUCGAGCUUGAAUCUGUACAUCGUUAUUGUAAUAAUUUCAUCGUUUAAUACCGAUAAUAAAUACGCAACGAAAAUUAAUUAAUCGAAUAGUCUAAAACGCUUUGAAUUUGCAUGUAAUACCAAGUUUCCAAUUUGCAGCUCUGGCUAAACGAAUUUCGCGGAGGUCAAAUGGUCCUCUGCGUCCUGUCCGAUUAAAUUUAAGCCUUUCUACUAGCCAGGCGCGUUCGCCUCUUUUAAGUCUGAUUUAUUAUGCAUCGUUCCACUGACUCACUCGCCUCUAUCGAAAUUCUUCGAAGGAUCAAUCGAUAUGCCUAGCCUGAAAUCAACACGUUAACACUUUAUCGACCGUUCAGUGCACGUUUUACGUAUAUUUUAUACACGUUCGAAUAUGUCUUCGACUUAAUUGUAUUUUUAUAUUUAAUAAUAUUUGUUUGUGAAUUCUAAUCAAUUCAAUGUACAGGCGCAAAAUUUCAUCAAUUUUAUCGGAGAGAAUUUUCAGGAAUUUCCGCGAUGUCGAUGUGUGAUUUGGUCGAAAAAGAAGCUGGAAAAUCUCCAUAGAAAAUAGAGAAGAGAAUUUCAU